UAGCUUAGUUGGUAAAGUGCUCGUCUAGCCUACAAGAAUCCUGGGUUCGAAUCCCAG
RNAcentral lists this transfer RNA (57 nucleotides) under Aedes aegypti (yellow fever mosquito). It matches the Rfam family "tRNA", at positions 8 to 63 of the family's 71-position model. Rfam says of the family: Transfer RNA (tRNA) molecules are approximately 80 nucleotides in length. Their secondary structure includes four short double-helical elements and three loops (D, anti-codon, and T loops). Further hydrogen bonds mediate the characteristic L-shaped molecular structure. tRNAs have two regions of fundamental functional importance: the anti-codon, which is responsible for specific mRNA codon recognition, and the 3' end, to which the tRNAs corresponding amino acid is attached (by aminoacyl-tRNA synthetases). tRNAs cope with the degeneracy of the genetic code in two manners: having more than one tRNA (with a specific anti-codon) for a particular amino acid; and 'wobble' base-pairing, i.e. permitting non-standard base-pairing at the 3rd anti-codon position. The record is from Rfam by way of RNAcentral. Lineage: Eukaryota; Metazoa; Arthropoda; Insecta; Diptera; Culicidae.